Triticum aestivum (bread wheat) is the source of this 727-nucleotide long non-coding RNA. RefSeq lists it as uncharacterized. The transcript has 3 exons. The record is from RefSeq and is a predicted model, not a curated record. NCBI's taxonomy places the organism in Eukaryota, Viridiplantae, Streptophyta, Magnoliopsida, Poales, Poaceae.
CAGGAGAGAGAGGGAGGCGAGGAUUGGUGAAGAACUCCGUUGCCGCUGCGUGCCGUGCUUCUGGAUCGAGCGCUGCCUGACCAAGGGAUAAGAGUAUGAGGUAAAACUAGCCACCAUGCUCCUGUGCGGGCUGCAUCUCCACAUCUCCCGUUUCAUUAUUUCACCAUUGCUGCCUCUUCUCCUCUUCGUUGCUCUGCUUCUUCUCCUGAUUUCUCUUUUUCAUUUUUUCUCUUUGUGGCGCCGCCGGGGAUGAGAGGAGCAGCUGCUGAAGCAGGCGCGGUGCUGGUGCACUGCUGGCGAAGCGGUCGUCGACGGUGCCGUCGACGUCGUCCUUGGCAGAAGAAUUUCAUUCUCAGCUUCAUCGGCGUCAGCUUCAUCACCAAGAGGACGGACUCCGGAAGGUAGCCUCCUCCUAAGGCGCCAGACCGGGAUCAGCUUUGGUGGCAUCCGAUGCUGCCAGACCACUGGGUUAGAGCAGAGGAAGCUGACAUGGUGUUCGACAUUCAGAUGGUCAUUGUGAUCGACCAGAUGCGGCGCCUCAUGUCACCCCGAGCCUCCAGGGCUUGUUAGCGGUGCUCAUAAAGUAAGAAUAUGCUUGCAAGUGCUCGUUUCCCAUAUGCUUGCCCAUUCCUGUCUCGCAUCAAGCUUUCAUUUAUUUCCCUAAAAUUCCUCUAAUUUGAUGUGUGCAUGUCUGAGAAAGAAAUAAGAGGAAUAAGCUAUGGUAUGU